GGAAAGUUCAUUGCAUUUGUCUCAACAGAAGCCGAGACUGAUCAUCCGGAGAUUGAACUGAGGGCAGGGAUUGAUCUUCUUGGGCCAGUAGAUGAGCUGUUCUUCGAGACAUAUGACAGAUUCGAACCUGUAAACGAACCAUCACUGGAUAAUUGUUUCAUUUCAACUAGCUAUGAUGCUACAACACAUUUUGAGUCCACUGUCAUGGAUGUGCUUUCCAUGUAUAGGCAGAUUACUGGAAAGGAUGUGGAUCUUACCGUGGAUCUAAGUGCUGCUAGCGCUGCUGAAGAGUGAUUAGUGUUGCAACUCUCUCACCUGCCUUAAAAGAUUUUAAACUGGUGUAGCCAUGUGUUUCUAUGUUUCUUCGAUGUUUUCCGUUUGCAUCAACUUAUUUAAGAGCUGCUAUAUUGUGCCAUCCAGUCAUGUUAGUGCCCGAGAUCGUGC
Molecule: unclassified non-coding RNA, 444 nt
Filed under: Hevea brasiliensis (rubber tree)
Lineage: Eukaryota; Viridiplantae; Streptophyta; Magnoliopsida; Malpighiales; Euphorbiaceae
Source: RNAcentral